AUUCUUGGCAGCAAUGAGAGCUCUCGGUUUGGUGCAUUGGCUGUGUAGGAGUGUACCUCCCAUUUUGGGAUCAUUUAGACCUCCUUUGGUAAAGUUCUUGCAGGUUUAAUGGCAGAUAAAGGAAAAGGGUUUUUUUU
Molecule: long non-coding RNA, 137 nt
Organism: Salvia hispanica
Lineage: Eukaryota; Viridiplantae; Streptophyta; Magnoliopsida; Lamiales; Lamiaceae
Source: RefSeq, a predicted model, not a curated record